RNAcentral lists this long non-coding RNA (209 nucleotides) under Mytilus galloprovincialis (Mediterranean mussel). The record is from RNAcentral. Lineage: Eukaryota; Metazoa; Mollusca; Bivalvia; Mytilida; Mytilidae.
GUUAUAGUUACAAAGUGCCGUAACUCAAAAAGUUUUAAUCUUAUUUUCACCAAAAAGUAUACAGAUCAUUUGACCAUCAUAAGAAACAACUAUGUAAAGUUUCAUGAAAUUUGGAUAAGUCGUUCUCAAGUUACAGUGCGACAUGUUUACGCCGGACAGACAGACGGACACCAGACAUUUGUAUACCAUAAUACGUCCCGUCAAAAUUU